GCGGAGGGUUUGAGGCAGGCCCAAGAGCGAGCCCAUGGUCUUCCGACGCGGGGCCAGGGGCGGGCCCCAGGAUCCGGAGCUUCGUGCGGGGCCGAGUCCAGGUUUGGGGCCCGGGAGGCGGGGCCAGUUAGGGCGACUGUCCCUGGGAUCGUCGGGUCAGGCCUUGGGCUAACGUAGGCACUCUCGCAGUUCCUCCGCCUUCAGGAAGGUCUUUUCAGCAGGGGCCUUACGGGUGCAUGCUUCGGUCCUGGAGGCCUUAUCCUAGCCUCCUCUCCAUCAGCGCCACCCGUCUGGGGCCCGAAAGGAGGGAGCUUUCCCUCUGUCCCCCAGCCUUUGGACUGUCACCAAACAAGCCAUUCGUUCAUCAAAUACUUUUUAAGCGCCUACCAUGUGCCUGACAAGGGAGAUGUAACGGUGAGAAAAACUAGGUGUGGUCCAGGCCCUUCAGGGGCUCAGGUGCUCGUGGAAGAAGUGGACAUUGAAGUACUUAUCACACAAAUGAGGAUAAAAGUACGAUAGCGAUAUCUACCACGAAGCUGUUGUUCCCCACCAGAACCAAAUGAGCGCAAGAUCUGACAAAGAAAAAAAAAGGUUCAUCUUUUAUUCCUCCAAACACUUUCAUUUAAAUCAAGAGGAUGGGAUGUGGUUAUUGCUGUGUUUUUAGACAGAAUCAACGGUUUCUGGGUCUGAGAUGUUGCAUACACCUUCUCAGUCCCUGUAUCCUGAGAUGGAGUCACCUGAGAAUCCACAGCAAGUCCUAACCAGGGAUGGGUCUGGGUGAUUAAGGAAGGUUGGCUUCAGAACUGGGCCAGGGGCACUGCUUUGCUUUUGCUGUUUUGAUCAGCUCUCUGCCUGAAGGAGACAAGAAAAACCAACGGGAACAGCCCAGUAAAGGCGCCAUUCCCCAUUUUACAGCUGGGGAAACUGAGUUACAGAGCUUGUCUGCACUGAGUCAUCAGGAGCAAAUGCUAGAUCAGAUAGGGUCUCUCUCUCUGCCACCCAGGCCAGAGUGCAGUUGACGCAGGGCAGGGGAGCCCCGAAGUGGAGCAUAGUGUGUCCGGAACUGGUGGGUUCUUGGUCUCACUGACUUCAAGAAAGAAGCCGCGGACCCUCGCGAAACUCCUGGAGGGCAGAGGCAUGCCUGCCAUCUUCAUCAUUGCAUUACCACCACCCAACACUAUCGGGGGACCUGCCCUGAUAAUCAGAAAUGCAUAGGAAUAUGCUGGUGCCUGAAUGUACCAUCCGGGGACCUGGAGAUUGACUCACCUGCCUCCAGAGCUGGUGCUCACACUUACUACUGAGAGGCCUGAGGAAACGCCUGCCUACCCACCACCAGAACCUGUAUAGGUCACCUGGAGAACUAGAGAUCAGCCUGCCACACACACCACCCAGGAGCCCAGUGGUGCACCUGCCCAUCUGGCCCACUGCCAGCAACCAAAGAAGCCACCUGGAGUCCCAGGGAUUGGCCCACACAGACAGGCUAUCAUCAGUGCCCACAAACGCUGCCCAUGGUCCCUAGUAUUGACACACCUGGUCCACCGCCACUACCACUGAUGCUGAAGGACAAGACUUCCUGGCAUCCCCAUCCUCAGCAAAGCCUCACCAAAGCCUCCAAUAACAACUGCAGUCUGGCCAAGUGUGGUGGCUCACGCCUGUAAUCCCAGCACUUUGAGAUGCCGAGGCGUGUAGAUCACGAGGUCAGGAGUUCGAGAGCAGCCUGGCCAACAUGGUGAAACCCCGUCUCUACUAAAAAUACAAAAUUUAGCUGGGCAUGGUUGCACGUGCCUAUAGUCCCAGCUACUCAGGAGGCUGAGGCAGGAGAAUUGGUUGAACACGGGAGGCAGAGGAUACAGUGAGCUGAGAUUGUGCCACUGCACUCCAGCCUGGUGACAGAGCUAGACUCCAUCUCAACAACCACCAAAAAAAACCACUGCAGUCUAAGCCACUGAAUGACUCACAGGCACCACCCAUGCCAAUUACAGCUGAAGGAAUCAUAUGCAAACUAUACUACUGUACCCACCCAGAAUCAAAGCCAAAGUGUGAUAUCCAAUGAACACUGUAGAUACAGCUGUAAGAAAAGGUCUUUCCCAUAUAAAAGCCAAUCCAUAAAAUUGGAAGAAAUGACUGUUAUGUCAGAGGCACAGAUAGUCACAUAAGGAUGCAAGAAAUAUGAAAAAGGAAACAUAACAUCUCAAAGAAGCACAAUAAUUCUCCAGCAACAGAUCCAAUGAAAAGAAAAUCUAUGAAAUACCUGAAAAAAAUUCAGAAUGAUGUUAUUAAAGAAACUCAGGGAGAUACAAGAGAACACAGAUAAUGAAUACAAAAAAAAAAAACAAAAACAGGAAAACUAUUCAUGAUCUGAAUGACAAAUUCAACAGAGAUAGACAGCAUAACAAAGAACCAAACACAAAUCCUGGAAGAGAAUAAAUCAUUGAAAUAAAUACAAAAGAUAAUUGACAGCUUUAACAAUAGACUAGAUCAAGCAAAACAAAGAAUUUCUGAACCUGAAGACUAGUCUUUUAAAAUAAUCCAGUCAGACAAAAAGAAAGAAAAAAGAAUGAAGCAAGGCUACAUGACAUAUGGGACACAUAUGUGACCAAAAACUGAAAUUCUGGGAGUUCUGGAUGGAGAUGAGAUGGGUAAAGGCAUAGAAAACCUAUUUAAUGAACUAAUAACUGAAAACUUCCUGAAUGCUUCCAAAUGCAGGAAGCUCAAAGAUUACCAAGUAAAUACAACUCAAAAUGGUCUUCUCCAAGGCACAAUAUGGUAAAAUUGUCAAAAGACAAAGAGAAAAUGCUAAAAACAGCAAGAGAAAGGCAUCAAGUCACUUAUAAGAGAAUCUCCAUCAGGCUAACGGGGAAUUUCUCAGCAGAAACCUUACUGGCUAGGAGAAAAGGGGAUGUAUAUUACAAGUACAAAAAAAAAAAAUAAUAAAAAAAUGUAAGCCAAAAAUACUCUACCCAGCAAAGCUAUCCUUCACAAAUGAAGGAGCCUGGCACAGUGGCUCACAUCUGCAAUUCCAGAGACUCAAGGCUGAGGCAGGAGGACCAUUUGAUCCCAGGAGUUCAAGGCUGCAGUGAGCUAUGAUCAUGCCACUGUACUCCAGCCUGGGUGACAGAGUGAGACUCCAUUGCUAAAAAAAAAAAUAGUAAUAAUAAAAGGGAAAAAAGUAUUUCCCAGAUAAGCAAAAGACUGUUUGUUUGUGUCUUGUUUGUUGUGGUCCUAUAAGAAAUGUUUAAGGGAGUCCUACAUUGGGAAGUGAAAGAACAAUAUCUACCAUCAUGAAAAUACAUGAAAGUAUAAAACUCACUGGUAGUUCAGACACACAAAGAAGAAAGGAUUCAAACAUCACCACUAAAGAAAACCACCAAACUGCAACCAUAAAUAAUGAGAGAAAAAAGGAACAAAGGUGUAUUAGUCUGUUUUCACACUGCUGAUAAAGACAUACCUGACUGAGACUGAGCAAUUUACAAAAGAAAGAGGUUUAAUGGACUUACACUUCCACAUAGCUGAGGAAGCCUAAGAAUCACGUUGGAAGGCAAGAAGAAGCAAGUCAUGUCUCACAUGGAUGGCAGCAAUCAAAGAUAGAGCUUCUGCAGAGAAACUACCCUUUUCAAAACCAUCAGACCUUGUGAGACUUAUUCACUAUCAUGAGAACAGCAUGGGAAAGACCUGCCCCCAUGACUCAAUUACUUCCCACCAGGUCCCUCCCACAACAUGUGGGAAUUCAAGAUGAGACUUGGGUGGGGACACAACCAAACCAUAUCAUUCUGCCCCUGGCCCUUCCCAAAUCUCAUAUCCUCACAUUUUGAAACCAAUCAUGCCUUCCCAACAGUCCCCCAAAGUCUUAACUAAGUUCAGCAUUAACUCAAAAGUCCACAGUCCAAAGUCUCAUUUGAGACAAGGCAAAUCCCUUCUGCCUAUGAGCAUGUAAAAUCAAAAACUAGUUAGUUACUUCCUAGAUACAAUGUGGGUAUAGGCAUUGGGUAAAUACAGUCAUUCCAAAUGGCAGAAAAUUGCCAAACAAAGGGGCUACAGGACCCAUGCAAGCCCAAAAUCCAGUGGGGCAGUGAAAUCUCAAAGCUCCAAAAUGAUCUCCUUUGACUCCAUGUCUGACAUGCAGGUCAUACUGAUGUAUGACCAUGGCCUUGGGAGAAAAAAGGCCACAGCUCCACUCCUGUGGCUUUGUAUGGUUUAACCCCCCUCCUGGCUCCUUUCACGGGUUGGCAUUGAGUGUCUGCAGCUUUUCCAGGCACACAGUGCAAGCUGUCAGUGAAUCCACCAUUCUGGGGUCUGGAGGAUGGUGGCCCUCUUCUCAAAGCUCCACUAGGUGGCGCUGCAGUAGGGACUCUAUGUGGGGGCUCCGACCCCACAUUUCCCUUCUGCACUGCCCUAGUAGAGUUUCUCCAUGAGUGCCCUGCCCCUGCAGCAAACUCCUGCCUGGGUAUCUAGGAAUUUCCAUACACCUUCUGAAAUCUAGGCAGCAGUUCCCAAACCUCAAUUUUUGACUUCUGUGCACCCACAGGCUCAACACUAUGUGGAAGCUGCUAAGGCUUGGGGCUUGCACCCUCUGAAGCCACAGCCCAAGUUGUACCUUGGCUCCUUUUAGCUGCAGCUGGAGUGGCUAGGACUCAGGCACCCUAGGCUGCUCACAACAGGGGUCCCUGGGUCUAGCCCACAAAACCAUCUUUUCUUCCUAGGCCUCUGGACCUUUGAUGGGAGGGGCUGCCAUGAAGACCUGUGACAUGCCCUGGAGACAUUUUCCCCAUUGUCUUGGGGAUUCACAUUUGACUCCUCGUUACUUAAACAAACUUCUGCAGCCAGAUCGAAUUUUUCUUGAGAAAAUGGGAUUUUCUUUUCUAUUGCAUUGUCAGGCUGCAGAUUUUCCAAACUUUCAUGCUCUGCUUCCCUCAUAAAACUGAAGGCCUUUAACAGCACCCAAGUCAUCUCUUGAAUGCUUUGCUGCUUAGAAAUUUCUUCUAUCAGAUACCCUAAAUCUCAAGUUCAAAUACCCUAUCAGUUACCCUAAAUCUCUCAAGUUCAAAAUUCCACAAAUCUCUACAGCAGGGGCAAAAAGCCACCAGUCUCUUUGCUAAAACAUAACAGGAGUCACCAUUGUGCCAGUUCCUAACAAGUUCCUCAUUUCCAUCUGAGACAACCUAAGCCUAGACUUUAUUGUCCAUAUAACAAUCAGCAUUUUGGGCAAGUCUCUAGGAAAUCUCUUCCAAAUUUUCCCACAUUUUCCUGUCUCCUUCUGAGCCCUCCAAACUGUUCCAACCUCUGCCUGUUUCCCAGUUCCAAAGUCACUUCCACAUAUUCAGGUAUCUUUUAGCAACACCCCACUUCUGGUACUAAUUUACUGUAUUAGUCCAUUUUCACACAGCUGAUAAAGACACAUUCAAGACUGGGAAAUUUACAAAAGAAAGAGGCUUAAUGGACUUACAGUUCUACAUUGCUGGGGAGGCUUCAAAAUCAUUGCGGAAGUCAAGGAGAGGCAAGUCACAUCUUACAGGGAUGGCAGCAGGCAAAGAGAGAGCUUGAGCAGGGAAACUCCUCCUUUUAAAACCAUCAGAUCUCAUGAGACUUAUUCACUAUUAAAAGAAUAGCAUGGGAAAUACCUGCCUCCAUGAUUCAACUACUUCCCAUUGGGUCCCUCCCACAACACAUGGGAAUUCAAGAUGAGAUCUGAGUGGGGACACAGCCAAACCAUAUCAAAAGGAUAUACAAAAUAACCAGAAAACAAUGAACAAAAUGACAGGAAUAAAUCCUCGCCUAUCAAUAAUAACUUCGAAUAUGGGUUAAAUUACCUACCUAAAAGAUACAGUCAGGCUUAAUGGAUAAAAAGUGACCCAACAUCACUUCCCUUGUAAAGACACACACAGACUGAAAGUGAAGGGAUGGAAAAAGAUAUACCACACAAACAGAAAUCAAAAAUAAUCAGGAGUAGCUAAACUUACAUCAGAUAAAACAGACUUUAAGUCAAAAACUGUAAAAAGGACAAACAAGAUCAUUAUAUGGUAAUAAAGGGAUCAAUUCAGCAACAAAGUAUAACAAUUCCAAAUAUGCAUGCAACCAACACAAGCGCAUCCAGAGACAUAUAGCAAAUAUUAUUAAAUCUACAUGGAGAGAUAGAGUCCAAUAAAAUGAUAGUUGAGAACUUCAAUAUCCUACUCUCAGCAUUGGACAGUUCAUCUAGACAUAAAAUCAACAAAGAAACAUUAGAUUUAAGCUGCACUUUGGACCAAAUGGACCUAACAGAUAUUUUCAGAAUAGUUCAUCCAGCAGCAGCAGAAUAUACAAUCAUCUCAUCAACACAUGGAAUAUUCUCCAGGAUAGACCAUAUGUUAGGACACAGAACAAGGCUCAAUAAAAUUUUAAAAAUUAAAAUCAUAUCAAGUAUCUUCUCAGACCACAAAGGAAUAAAACUUGAAAUCAAUAAGAAGAAGAAAUUUGGAAACUGUACAAAUAUAUGGACAUUAAACAUGCUAUUGAAUAAUCAUUGGGUCAAUGAAGAAAUUAAGAUGGACAUCAAAAAAAUUUUUUAAACAGAAAAUGGAAACACAUCAUGCAAAACCUAUGGGAUACAGCAAAAGCAGUACUAGGAGGAAAGUUUAUAGCAAUAAAUGCCUACACUAAAAAAGUAGAAAGAUUUCAAAUAAACAACCUAAUGAUGCACCUCAAGGAACUCAAAAAGCAAGAACAAAUCAAACACACAAUUAGUAGAAAGAAAAAAUAUAAAUAACAUAGCAGAACCAAAUGCAACAGAGACAAAAAAAAAUGCAAAGAAUCAACAAGAUAAAAGUUGGUUUUUUGAAAAGUUAAACAAAAUUGAUAAACCACUAGUGAGGCUAACCAAAAAAAAAAAAAAGAGACCAAAAUAAAUACAAUCAGAAAUGAAAAAGGAGACAUUACAAGUGUUACCAAAGAAAUAAAAAGGAUAAUUAGAGGCUAUUAUGAACAAUCAUAUGCUAACAAAUUGGAAAACCUAGAGGAAAGGGAUAAAUUCCCAGACAUACACAGCCUACCAAGGUUGAACUAGGAAGAAACAGAAAACGUGAACUGACCCAAAAUGAAUAGCAGGUUUGAAUCAGUAACAAAAUGUCUCCCAAAGGAGAAAAGCCCUAGACUAGGCUUUUAUGCUGAUUUCUACCCAAUUUAUAAAGAAAAACAAACACCAAUUCUUCUCAAACUAUUCCCAAAAAUUGAAGAGGAAGGAAUUCUUCCUAACUCAUUGUAUAAGGCCAGCAUUACCCUGAUAUCCAAUCAAGACAAGGACACAACAAAAGGAGAAAACUACAGGCCAAUAUUCCUAAUGAACACAGAUGGUAAAAUUCUCAGCAUAAUACUACCAAGCCAAAUCUAAUGAUGAAUGAAAAAGAUAAUAUACCAUGAUCAAGUGGGAUUUAUCCCAGGAAUGCAAAGGUGGCUCAACAUACACAAAUCAAUACAUGUGAUACAUCACAUUGACAAGAUGAAAGGCAAAAACUAUCUGAUCAUCUCAGCAGAUGCAGAAAAAUCACUCAGUAAAACUUACCAUUCCUUCAUGAUGAAAACUCUCAACAAAUUAAGCAUAGAAGGAACACUUCAACCUAAGAAAAGGCAUAUAUGACAAAUCUACAGCUAACAUCCUACUCACUGGGAAAAAUUGAAAAGCCUUUCCUCUAAGAACUGGAACAAGAGAAGGAUGCCCACUUUCACCACUCUUAUUCAACACAGUAUGGGACAUCCAAGCCAGAGUGAUCAGACAAGAUAAAGAAAAAAAAGGCAUCCAAAUGGACAAAAGGAAGUCCAAUUGUCUCACUUUGCAAAUGACAUAAUCGUAUACCUGUAAACAGAAAAACCUAAAGACUCUACCAAAAAACUCUUAAAAUAAAUUAGGCUGGGCAUGGUAGCUCAUGCCUGUAAUCCCAGCACUUUGGGAGACCAAGGUGGAUGGAUCACCUGAGGUUGGGGGUUUGAGACCAGCCUGGCCAACAUGGUGAAACCCUGUCUCUACGAAAAAUACAAUUAGCCAGGCAUGGUGGUAGGUGCCUGUAAUCCCAGCUACUUGGGAGGCUGAAGCAGGAGAAUCGCUUGAAACCGAGAAGUGGAGGUUGCAGUGAGCCAAGAUUGCACCACUGCACUCCAGCCUGGAAAACAGAGUGAGACUCUCUCACAAAAUAAAAAAUAAAAAAUAAAAAACAUUUUUAAAAAAGGAUGUAUAAUUCAGUAAAGCUUCAGGACACAAAAUCAACAUACAAAAAUCAGUAAUGUUUCUAUAUACCAGUAACAAACUAGCUAAAAUAGAAAUCAAGGAAGAAAUUCUAUUUACAAUAGCUACAAAAAUAAAAUACCUAGGAAUAAACUUAACCAAGGAUGAGGAAAAAAAAAACCCAAAAAACCUCUACAAUGAAAACCACAAAACACUGAUAAAAUAAACUGAGAAGGACACAAACAAAUGGAAAGGCAUCUUAUGCUCGUGGGUUGGAGUAACUAAUACUGUUAAAAUGACCAUACUACCCGAAGCAAUCUAGAGAUUCAGUACAAUCCCUAUCAAUUAUAUUCUUCACAGAAACAGGAAAAAAAAAAACCCUGAAAUUCAUAUGGAACCACAGAAGACCCCAAAUAGCCAGAGCAAUACUGAGCAAAAAGAACAAAGCUAGAAGCCUCACACUACCUGAUUUAAAAAUAUACUGCAAAGAGGCCGGGCGAGGUGGCUCAAGCCUAUAUCCCAGCACUUUGAGAGGCCAAGGCGGGUGGAUCACAAGGUCAGGAGAUCGAGACCAUCCUGGCUAACAUGGUGAAACCCCGUCUCUAAUAAUAAUAAAAAAAAAAUUAGCCAGGCGUGGUGGCGGGCAUCUGUAGUCCCAGCAGCUACUCGGGAGGCUGAGGCAGGAGAAUGGCAUGAACCCGGGAGGAAGAGCUUGCAGUGAGCAGAGAUCACACCACUGCACUCCAGCCUGGGCGACAGAGCAAGACUCCAUCUCAAAAAGAAAAAAAAAAAAAAAUAUAUAUAUAUAUAUAUAUAUAUAUAUAUGUGUGUGUGUGUGUAUAAAUAUAUUUGUAUAUAUAUGUAUAUAUAUACGUAUAUGUGUGUGUAUAUACGUAUAUAUGUAUGUACG
This 9101-nucleotide long non-coding RNA is filed under the name Homo sapiens (human). RNAcentral's name for it is "HSALNT0345319". The record is from RNAcentral. Lineage: Eukaryota; Metazoa; Chordata; Mammalia; Primates; Hominidae.